Hypanus sabinus (Atlantic stingray) is the source of this 352-nucleotide long non-coding RNA. RefSeq lists it as uncharacterized. NCBI's taxonomy places the organism in Eukaryota, Metazoa, Chordata, Chondrichthyes, Myliobatiformes, Dasyatidae. The transcript is spliced from 2 exons. The record is from RefSeq and is a predicted model, not a curated record.
AAGUAACGGGGUGAAGAAGAAGGAAUCGGAUAAAAGUGGAACUUAGGAGGAGGGGAACAGAGGAAGGUGACAGCAGGUGAGGAGGUGAGCAUAGGUGUACCGUGGAGAGCAUUUGAACUGGCUGCAUCGCUGGCUGGUCUGGAGAUGCGACUGCACAGGAUCGGGAAAAGCCGCAGAAAGGUGUAAACUUAGUCAGCUCCAUCAUGGGCACUAGUCUCCCCGGUACCGUGGGCAUCUUUGAAAAGUGGUGCCUUAAAAAGGCAACAUCCAUUAUUAAGGACCCCCAUCACCCAGGACAUGCCCUCUUCCCAUUGCUACCAUCAGGGAGGAGGUACAGGAGCCUGAAGACACA